Molecule: long non-coding RNA, 3240 nt
Organism: Eucalyptus grandis
Lineage: Eukaryota; Viridiplantae; Streptophyta; Magnoliopsida; Myrtales; Myrtaceae
Exons: 5
Source: RefSeq, a predicted model, not a curated record
ACCUCUCUCUUCUUUUCAAUUUUCGAGCGCUUUUUGCCUCCUCCUUUCUCGAGUCGAGAAGAGGAAACGCAGAUACCUUCUCUCUCCUUCUCCGGCACGCUCUCUCCUUCUCCGGCACGCCCGACUGCCUCCACCUCCACCUCCGCCUCGCCAUGCCCCUUCCCCUUCCCCAAAGCCCCCGUCGGUCGCAGGUGCUGGUCAGAUCUGUGUCUGGCACGUCGCCUCCUUGAAGACCCCCGCUGGGUCGCAGCUGCUGGAUCCCGAGCGCCCUUUGCCUCCGCCGUCACCUCCGGAGUCUCAUCGGCGGCUACAAUUCGUCAGCUCACUCCUCUCUCCCAUCCGCGCUCGCGCUGAUCUCUUGGAAACCUGGUGGCGUCUAGCCCGCCGCUCUUCUGUGCCCCCUCUCUGCAGCAUCUUGCCAUUUCCAGCCGUCAGAACAUCAACAAGAGCGUCUUGGGGCUGCCCGCGUGUGACCCAGCGACAGAAAUGAUGAGGAAGGAGAAAACGCGCAACAAGCUCGCUAUCUCUGGUCUUGCUCGUGUGUACGGCUGUUCUCUGGUUCUUUUCCAAUCCAGGUUCAAGAAAACUAGGAAACUUCACACACCCAUUGAAGCUGAGCAACAGAGCAAGCCAUUACACGAGGCUCUGACCUUGACUCUAUCAUUGAAGAAAUCCAUGGAAAAUUCAGAAACACCCCUCGACUUAUCGACGCAGAUGAAGAUGGGCACUUCUUCGAUGCACAUGUAAAUCGUGCUACACGUCCAUGGCCUCCACUUCCUCCAUCUCUCUCGCCUAUCGGAUUCAUUUUUCUUCGGCAUUGCAGUUAACCCUGCGGGUCGGAGCCGUGGACCGGAGCUCGAAUUCUUUAGCGUGCUGUGCUCCGGCUACUGCGCGCGAGGCGCUUUGCGUGCACGGACAGGGCCUCCGUCGCAGAAUAAACAGAGGUUUUUCAGGUAUGGAGGCUUGGUGAUAAUGGCUGCUUUGGCUUCUAAUUCCAGCCAGAGUCGGAGAGCAUAUCGGGAGGCCGAGGGGAAGAGUUCUUUGCUGGCCGUUGUGGCUCCUGUGAAGCAGGUCGCGUCCUUUGCCGUUCCCGCCGGAGUAUUUGUGGCCGUGACUUUUGGUAUGAAAGUUUUAACGUUAUUGUUGAUUUGCUGUGAGGAAGAGAGUAGGGGUGAUUAUUGACUAUGAUGAGAAGCUUUUCCUAAUUGGAACCGAUUAGAACGUGGUUGUUUAUGGUUUGGCAUUGCACCUUCUAUUGUCAAGAGGUUGUUUAAGGAUUAUUUUUUCUGGCAGAGAGUUUGGGUUACAAUAGUGUAAUUUGAGCAAGCCACCAGUAUAUCUUUCAGAUGUUCUGAUGAGAUUUAUCGACUUUGGUGUGUUAAUGUUAAACCAUGCCUGAUGGAUCAAUUUUAGUGUUUUCAUUACUCGAUUAUCGCUUAUUUUUGCAAAUAACAACACAAUUGUUCACAUUGGCGCUCUAGUACAUGUGUUUCUUUGCCUCUUAUGAUUUGAAAUUUCUUGUUUUCGAAGCAGCUCUUUAGUGACAUGUUCUUGUUGAUAGAGUCUGUGCGAUGUAUUGGUGAAUAAUACUGCUAUCCAGAAGCUCCUACUGAAAAGUACUGAAAAGUCUCGACUGCAACAUGUUUACCAAGCACUGAAGUUUGGAUGAAGUUUAAGCCUUCCAAAUAGUGACAGCAACAGCUAUGGUGGUGCACGAGGGGCCAAUGCUUUGGCUAAAGGGUUGGAGGGAAACAAGUCAUUGAGGGUAAACAACUCAUUUUUUUCCAAUUUUCUUUCUUAAGGAUAAAUAGCUCGAAUUUUGGUUGGGAAUUCUGUCAUUAGAAUGUAGUGCAUGCUCCUGUCAACAAGUUCUAUAGUUAUAUAUAUUGUGCUAACCAUGUGGGCUCCAUAGAACAGAUAAAGAUGGACAACAUUUCAACUCUGAAGGAGUAAAAUUUUUUCGUCUCUGGACAACAACCAGCAGAGUUGUUGAAGAAAAACUCAACCUCGCAGGUUCUAGAGCGAUUUCAGAGAAGGUAUUGAAGCUGCGCCAAGGAAGCACGCAGCACCAGCUGCGUGCCCAUUUAAUAUGUGGGCACAAGAAACUUUUGGGGCAUAAUCAUGUUAUUUUGAAGGAUUUAGUUAUUGAUAUGUGGAUGCAGGAAACUUUCGGCAUAUACGGUUGCUUAUUCAAUGCUGUUCUAUGGGAGAGCAGACCAUUAUCUUUCUAAGUGACAUUAAAAACUUACUCCCCAACUUUGUUAGGUGGGAGAGCUGGUCUAUAGGUGGUUGGUUUGUCCUCAUGUUAUGCUUGCAUCUUUUACUGAUAGAAUGUGUAUAGUCCAUAUUAUGUUACAAUAAAGUAUGGAAACUCACACCAAGUUGUUGAACCAUUGUGUGCGAGAAACCUGGUAUUAUUGCAUUUUGAUCCUCUCUUAAUUUUGUACCUAGGCAGUUUCAAUGGUGAUGUUCUCGACAUUUGAGCAUUCAGUGGAUUUCCUUUAUGGUGUUAUUAGAAGAAGAAAGGAGGAUUGCUCAAAAUUUUAACAACUCGGGGUAACAUGCUUAGCUGGAUAUGCUGCUGGAUCUGUUGGUAGCUUCAUAUCAAAUCCUGCCAACAAUAUUGUUGCUUUCAUCAACAACCAAAAAGCUGACAGUCUCAUGCCGGCAAUCAGGAAUAUCGGGGUUGCGAAUCUGUUUAUGAGGAGCCUUCCCAUUAGAAUUAUACUCAUUGGACCUGUUGUAACUCUGCAGUGGUUCUAUGAUACCAUCAAGAUUCUUAGUGGAUUGCCAACUAGUGGUGAAGUCUCAACUAAUGCCCCGAGAGAGAAUAUAAAAGCUUGAGCUAUGCCCAAACGAUCACACUGUUUUUCAAAGAGUGAGGUGGUGUCCACACCAAAUAAGGAAAUUACAGCCUUUUCAGGCAUUCAAUAUGCUGGAAUGUUACAAUCAUUGCAACUACUGAACAAUUCCAAAAGACCAUGAGAUAUGGUUGCAGCCUUUUAUGUCAUCACAUAUUGUGGCUUAUAGCUCUAGUUCUAGAUUUUUGCUUGACCAUUGUUCUUGCUUUUAGCUCAUGGAAGUUUCUCUGCAUCAUGUAUGACAAGUUCUUGUUCUUGCGAAAAUAUAUGGCUACUUGAUAACUUUCAUGCGUCACACUACAUAUCUGGAUUUUCAUGUACUCGUAGAAUGUACUUGCUCUCUGCAGAGACAUGGAGCUUGGAGAAGUCUCUAAAUUUU